GGAGAGGUAGUUCAAUGGUUAAGAACAUUGGCUGCUCUUCCAAAGGGCCUGGGUCUGAUUCCCAGAGUCUCCA
RNAcentral lists this transfer RNA (73 nucleotides) under Mesocricetus auratus (golden hamster). It matches the Rfam family "tRNA". Rfam says of the family: Transfer RNA (tRNA) molecules are approximately 80 nucleotides in length. Their secondary structure includes four short double-helical elements and three loops (D, anti-codon, and T loops). Further hydrogen bonds mediate the characteristic L-shaped molecular structure. tRNAs have two regions of fundamental functional importance: the anti-codon, which is responsible for specific mRNA codon recognition, and the 3' end, to which the tRNAs corresponding amino acid is attached (by aminoacyl-tRNA synthetases). tRNAs cope with the degeneracy of the genetic code in two manners: having more than one tRNA (with a specific anti-codon) for a particular amino acid; and 'wobble' base-pairing, i.e. permitting non-standard base-pairing at the 3rd anti-codon position. The record is from Rfam by way of RNAcentral. Lineage: Eukaryota; Metazoa; Chordata; Mammalia; Rodentia; Cricetidae.